GCGGGACACGUGGUAUCCUGUCUGAAUAUGGGGGGACCAUCCUCCAAGGCUAAAUACUCCUGACUGACCGAUAGUGAACCAGUACCGUGAGGGAAAGGCGAAAAGAACCCCGGCGAGGGGAGUGAAAAAGAACCUGAAACCGUGUACGUACAAGCAGUGGGAGCCUCUUAAUGGGGUGACUGCGUACCUUUUGUAUAAUGGGUCAGCGACUUAUAUUCUGUAGCAAGGUUAACCGAAUAGGGGAGCCGAAGGGAAACCGAGUCUUAACUGGGCGUUAAGUUGCAGGGUAUAGACCCGAAACCCGGUGAUCUAGCCAUGGGCAGGUUGAAGGUUGGGUAACACUAACUGGAGGACCGAACCGACUAAUGUUGAAAAAU
Molecule: ribosomal RNA, 377 nt
Filed under: Escherichia coli
Lineage: Bacteria; Pseudomonadati; Pseudomonadota; Gammaproteobacteria; Enterobacterales; Enterobacteriaceae
Description: partial 23S ribosomal RNA
Rfam family: Bacterial large subunit ribosomal RNA
Source: RNAcentral